UACGAAGGUCCCAAGCGUUGUUCGGAAUCACUGGGCGUAAAGGGCGCGUAGGCUGUGAGGUAAGUCGGGUGUGAAAUCCCGGGGCUCAACCCCGGAACUGCACUCGAUACUGCUUUACUAGAGGACUGGAGAGGAGAUUGGAAUUCUCGGUGUAGCAGUGAAAUGCGUAGAUAUCUGGAGGAACACCGGUGGCGAAGGCGGCAUCCUGGACCGGCAUUGACGCUGAGGCGCGAAAGCUAGGGGAGCAAACGGG
Molecule: ribosomal RNA, 253 nt
Filed under: uncultured bacterium
Lineage: Bacteria
Description: partial 16S ribosomal RNA
Rfam family: Bacterial small subunit ribosomal RNA
Source: RNAcentral